UUUUCUGAUUACAUUUUGGUUUUUUUAGAGAAUUGCUACUUAAACUUUUCAUGAAUGUUCGCAAAAAUUAGCAUAGGUACUAAUGUUCAGGGAUCUUAAUGGAAAUAAUAUCACAAGGAUUACAAAAACGGAUUUUGCUGGUCUUAGACAUCUUCGUGUUCUUCAACUCAUGGAAAACAAGAUCACUACAAUUGAGAGAGGAGCAUUUCAAGACUUAAAAGAGUUGGAGAGACUGUAAGUUUGUUUUUUAAAAAAAAAAUAA
Non-coding RNA from Thamnophis sirtalis, 262 nucleotides. The record is from RefSeq and is a predicted model, not a curated record. Lineage: Eukaryota; Metazoa; Chordata; Lepidosauria; Squamata; Natricidae.